This is a long non-coding RNA of Zophobas morio, 1003 nucleotides long. RefSeq lists it as uncharacterized. NCBI's taxonomy places the organism in Eukaryota, Metazoa, Arthropoda, Insecta, Coleoptera, Tenebrionidae. The transcript has 2 exons. The record is from RefSeq and is a predicted model, not a curated record.
UGCAAAGGCAUUCCAUUUGAUGUGAGUGAAGCUGCGGCUGCUGCUACUAGAGUGACAAUCAAAACGAAAAGGCCCAUCACGUGGGUUGCGCAGUAAAGCAAGUUACGUUGGUCGAGUCUAUUCAUAGCUCUCGGGGGAUGGAAAUAUAGGGCAGUAGCGCCGUUAAUUUGUCUUACUUUUGUACUGUGUUCGUAUGUCUAGUGCCAACGUUUUGUGUCUCCUAUUUUUUUAAGUUAUUAUUAUUUAUUUUGUCACUUUGUAUUUAUUAGCAAGAAGAAUUUUGUUUAAUAGGGUCCUCAGAGCAUUUAUUACUUUAAUUACAUUUUAUGAUAAAUCAGUUACGCCACUGGUAAGAGAUAGACGCGCAUCUGAAGCUCCGCCCAUGUCACCUUUCGUUCUGCUUGGCACUCUAACGAUCUAUGACCGUGUAAAUCAAAAGAUCGGUAUGAAAGAGCAUUGCAAAUUUUCGAAGAUUGGCGUCGAGAAAAAAGUUGCUUCACUUACCGAAGAAGUAUUUCUUACGUAUUUUGCGGAAAAAGCAAGUUUGCAGAAACCCUCCAGUCUUUGGAACAUGUUAAACCAGUGGCGGCUCGUGAAGUCAUGUCCACGAAAAGAACACUCUUGCGUUGACAGAUAAAUUAUAUUCCAUCGAUUAGUCUUUUCAAAAUUGCCCAAUUUUCACCAACUUUCUCGUAAUAGUUCUCCCUUUUAUGAGCCGAAUCUAAAUGAUUGGCAAUGUUUUGUUUACCAAGUAUUUUUAAUUUAAUGGAAGAAAAUAUGUGGUCCUAUGAUAUUGCUAAUAUUUGAAGAUGAGGAAAACAUCAAAUUAACAUUUCCUACUGUGACCCAAAAACAAGAAUUUGCGGCGGAGCUAAAAAAUUUGUUAGGAUUGAGCAAUCGUUCCACACCAGACCCAGGACUGCCCCUACCAAUUGCUUAAUUUAAUAAGAAUAAUAAGUUAAAUUAUAAAUUUAAUAAUAAUUAAUAAAUUGCAUUCCCCAAC